This 105-nucleotide non-coding RNA is filed under the name Chloroflexota bacterium. RNAcentral's name for it is "Chloroflexi bacterium SAM-I sequence". It matches the Rfam family "SAM riboswitch aptamer (S box leader)". From Rfam's summary of the family: The SAM riboswitch is found upstream of a number of genes which code for proteins involved in methionine or cysteine biosynthesis in Gram-positive bacteria. The SAM riboswitch acts at the level of transcription termination control. The predicted structure consists of a complex stem-loop region followed by a single stem loop terminator region. The record is from RNAcentral. Lineage: Bacteria; Bacillati; Chloroflexota.
AAUCUAUCGAGAGAUGUGGCGAGGGAAUUGGCCCCAUGACCCACACGACAACCUUUAAGACCUGCUUAAAGGUGCCAAAGCCAAACCAAGGUGGAGCGAUAGGCC